This 253-nucleotide ribosomal RNA is filed under the name uncultured bacterium. RNAcentral describes it as "partial 16S ribosomal RNA". It matches the Rfam family "Bacterial small subunit ribosomal RNA", at positions 524 to 776 of the family's 1533-position model. The record is from RNAcentral.
GACGAAGGGGGCUAGCGUUGUUCGGAAUUACUGGGCGUAAAGCGAGUGUAGGCGGUUGUCCAAGUUGGAUGUGAAAGCCUUGAGCUCAACUCAAGAAAUGCAUUCAGGACUGGGUGACUAGAGGGCCGGAGAGGAUAGUGGAAUUCCCAGUGUAGUGGUGAAAUACGUAGAGAUUGGGAAGAACACCAGUGGCGAAGGCGGCUAUCUGGACGGUUACUGACGCUAAGACUCGAAAGCGUGGGGAGCAAACAGG